Non-coding RNA from Castor canadensis (American beaver), 873 nucleotides. NCBI's taxonomy places the organism in Eukaryota, Metazoa, Chordata, Mammalia, Rodentia, Castoridae. The record is from RefSeq and is a predicted model, not a curated record.
CUACAAUAUCAGAGAUGGUGGAUUCCUGGGACGUGGACUGCUGAGUAACAAUGAACAAAGUCUCCCUGUUGCUUGUGAUGGGAAUGUAGCUUCAGUGAGAAAUAAGCCCUAUUUUCAGCCACUAUGAUUUAGGGAUUUAUUUGUUAUUGUAGCACAACUUAGCCCACCUUGCCUGAUACAUAUGCCUUCUUCAGUUUUCUAUCCCUAUACACCUUGCCCUAUUCCUAGCACAAUGUAGAGACACAGCAAUAAUUCUUGUCACAAGUUUUUGUCUUGGCUGUGAAAGUGACUUCAAAGACCAAACUCUAUGUCCUAAUGCAUACUAUUCCUGUGUCCCUAACUUCUUCCCUGAUGAUACAGGACUCUAUGGACGUGACUAAAAACAUUCCUGUGCAAAGAGGUGCACAUGCCAACUCCUAUGACCUCAUAACAUAUCAGACAAGCUCCUGGGUGGAUCCCAAGACAACUAUGAGCUGCCAUCACCUACCUGCCCUGCUGAUGGAGAAGAAUCUGGAAACCCAUUGACUUCAACCUUCAGAGCAACUCCCUGGGAAAACAUCAUGCUCUUCUUAGUCCUCUACCCUGUGGCCCUUUCCUCUUGUCAGUUCAUCUGGUCCCAAAGAAACCUCUCCCAUUCUCUAAUAGGACCAACAAAUUGGCUGGACUCAGGGUAAAAUUGCCAGAUCUAAACAGACCUACCAGCCAGAGGGAAGUAGUACUACUGUCAACAGUGGAUGAGCUGCGACUUAGGCAUGAUCCCCACAUCCUGCUCCACUCCUUUCUCCGCUCAUUUUGGUAAGUAGCUCCAAGCUUAAACUCCACCCCUAGGCAUGCGGUUCCCUUCUUCAUCAUGCAUUAUUCACCUGGCCCUCA